Molecule: long non-coding RNA, 8016 nt
Organism: Ostrea edulis (European flat oyster)
Lineage: Eukaryota; Metazoa; Mollusca; Bivalvia; Ostreida; Ostreidae
Exons: 4
Source: RefSeq, a predicted model, not a curated record
CAUUGUCUUUCAAGAUACACUGAAAUUCUCCUGAUAAGAAAAAGUUCUGGUUAGACACUCUACAUGAUAUUUGGAUUAUUACACUGGGAACUACAAUUUUUGGAUUAUAAUUUCUGUGUGUUAGAUUUAUUGUUCAACUACCUUUAAGGUAUGAAAAACAGCAACAUUACACAAAUCGACUGCAAAAUCCAACUGGACGAGCAAUGAAGAAAUGGAUCAAAUGCAGGAAGUUGGGAACCGGAAGAAGGAUCUAUUUGGAAGGUUGUAUAUUGGUUGCAUAUUGUGUAUAAACGUAUCUCUCGAGAAGUUUUCACUCAUAGAGACGUCACCAUUACCGGCGAUGGACCGGUAAAAACUGGGCAAAUUACAAAUGGGAUUGUAUGAAAAAUAAGGUAAUGCAGCAGUUCUUGUUGUGCCAAUCAAAGUCUCAGGAGUUACUUCUCUUUCUUUCACGCUUGCGCGUUCAUUAUUAUACUUUUGAAAACUCCUAUAUUCAUUUACUUGCAUCAGCAUUAACAGAAAAAUCUUUAAUUGUUCAGAGCACUCCUACAAACAUAAGGAUGAAUGAUUCUUGGCGAUUGGUCGUAUUCCACGAACAAACACACCGACUUCAUACGCAUUAGAAUUCAAGAAGAACAUACCAUUUGUAAUUCGCCAUAGAACAGAAAACUUUGGAUUGUCUAAGUUUAUAUCAUUGAUUCAAGGUGAAUUCGAUCGAAGAGUACCACAGAGAAAAAACGAUAUAUUAAGAGUACAUGAUUGGGAUUUAAGCUGGUCUCUCUUACUCCCACUACUGUCGAGCUGGGCGCAUCCAGAAAUGUAUGGAAGGGGGAGGGGCACACCUCAAAUACACUUCAAUCUGUCCAAACAUUCUAAGGAUCAAAAUGUCAGUACCUGCAGAUUAAAAUAAAAGUUGUAGUACGUAAAACCAACAACAGUUUUAUUGGUAGUGUUGUUUUGAAUAACUUAUUAAAUCAAAUUAAAUUUUGAAACAGACAAGUGGGAUCAAAUUAGGAGACCCAAAACAGGGGAAACCCAAAACAGGGAGACCCGUUUGUUGGACAGACACAGAAGAUUGACUAGGGAAGGCCUCGGAUAGAGGGACUUCCCCUUGGUAUUGAAUUCAGACGGCAAGUACUAGUAAUAUUUCAAAAGCAAUAACAAAUAUAUAUAUAUAUUGAAAUUAUGUUUGUUAACUUUCCUCCAGCAUUACUCGAUUGCCAAAUGCUGUUACACAUCUAAACAAUAAAACAUCAUUUACAGGGAUUUAAAAACACAGACAUAGACACCUAUUUCUGUGAAGCUUUCAUAUGUUUUAGUCGAACUCUACCGAUUUAAAUAUUUCUGUGAAGCUUUCAUAAUAUUUAGUUGAGCACUACCGGUUUAAAUAUUUCUGUAAAGCUUUCAUAUUAUUUGGACGAGCACUACCGGUUUAAAUAUUUCUGUAAAGCUAUCAUAUUAUUUAGUCGAACUCUACCGGUUUAAAUAUUUCUGUAAGUCUAAUUCAUUUCCUAAAGCAACAGAAGUCAAGAAAAACAAUGUCAAUCAAAAUAUGGUGAAAAAAUGCUGACGAACGAAUAAGCGGAGUAAUCUGAUUUAUCAAACAUUGCCAAUAAUUGUAAAGUUCAUAUCAAGGUAUUUAUCACUCAAUACACGAGGUAAUUAUACGGAACAUAAUUUAUGCAAGAUGUACUCAGUAGUACAUGCAUUUUAUGAUUAUAAUUUGUUUAUUAGCAGAUUUAGAAAGAAAAAUCUAAAACUGGACAACGUGUGGUUGAUAUGUAAAAUAGAAAAACCGAAAAUGAAAUCAUGGCCAUCCAGAAAGAAGUCUUAUUAUUAUUAUUAUCAAAAUAUCAAACUUAGAAUUUGAAAUCCAAACCAACUUUCCGUUCUUCAUGACUGUCAUGCAAAACAAUAACGAAUGUUUUUCUUCGUAGAUAUUGUCGAUGGGGAAUUCUAAAAAAAAAUUUAUAUCAGCUGUAGCGUAUUUUGGGGAAAUUCUAACAUUUUUUUAAUCAGCUGUAGAGUAUUUUUGGGGAAUUCUAACAUUUUUUUUAUAUCAGCUGUAGAGUAUUUUUUUUUAUAUCAGCUGUAGAGUAAUAUUUUUUUUAUAUAUCAGCUGUAGAGUAUUAUUUUAUAUCAGCUGUAGAGUAUUUUUGGGGAAUUCUAACUUUUUUUUUAUAUCAGCUGUAGAGUAUUUUGGGGGAAUCCUAACAUUUUUUAUAUCAGCUGUAGAGUAUUUUUUUUUUUAUAUCAGCUGUAGAGUAUUUUUUUUAUCAGCUGUAGAGUAUUUUUUUUAAUAUCAGCUGUAGAGUAUUUUAUAUAUCAGCUGUAGAGUUGUUUUUUUUAUAUCAGCUGUAGAGUAUUUUUUUAUAUCAGCUGUAGAGUAUUUUACAUAUCAAGUGUAGAGUAUUUUUUUUAUAUCAGCUGUAGAGUAUUUUUGCGUAGUAACUUAAUUUUGGGGAUGACUGAUCACAAGAUAGGAAUAUUUUCGUAUAUUGCUUAUAUUUCAUUUAUCAAUAACAGCUCAUCAAUAUUACUAAAAAUUACACUAUUUACCAACACUUUAUUUUCAUUUCAUUGCAGUGGCUAUAGGUACAUAUUUAAUUUGGAGGCCAGCUUACAAUAAAUAUAUGUUGUGUGCUAUAUAGUAUGUAUAUACAAAUGUUUCGAGGAGUACAGCUUACAAUGAAAAUAUGUGUAUGAAAAUAUAUAUAUCGGGGACGAGUCUGGCUCCCUUGGAAUUUGUAAACUCUCCCUGUGAUGUCUUUAGGCUGAAGCCGAUUGGUCAUUUUUUUUAUAUAUAGCCAUUACUAGCGCACCUUCUGGUCACCUGUAGUCCGUCUGUCUGUAAACGUUACACAUUUUCGACUUCUUCUCUAGAACCACUGGCCCAAUUUCAGCCAAACUUUGUACAGUGGGUGAAGGGGAUUCAAGUUUGUUCAAAUGAAGGGCCGUAUCCCCUUCCAAUGGGGAUAUAAUCGAGAAAAGGUCAAAAUAAGGGGGGAUCAUUUAAGAAUCUCCUCAAGAACUACUGGGCUAGAAAAAAAAGAAUCUUAUGUGAAACCUUUCUGACGUAGUGUAGACUCAAAAUUGUUCAAAUCAUGGCCCUGGGGGAUAGGAUGGAGCCACAUUAGGGGGUCAAAUCAUGGCCCUGGGGGAUAGGAUGGGGCCACAUUAGGGGGUCAAAUCAUGGCCCUGGGGGAUAGGAUGGAGCCACAUUAGGGGGUCAAAAUUUUACAGAUGAAUCUACAGGAUGUUUUUUUUUUCAAAAUCCCUCUUCUCAAGAACACCAAGGUCAUGAUUAUUCAUAAGGAAUUUGAAAGCACAAAACUUUCCCCAAAUCAACAGCCAUGUUAUAUUGUAGAUGACACAAAAUAGGCCUAUAUUAUUGAACGGAUUACGGUAAUGACAAAAACUCUGAGGACACCGUACUACAGUUUAUUUUGAAGAUCAGUAUUGUGGAUACAUAUAGUCAUUUUCACGUUCUCGUAAUGUAGAUCAUGUAGAGGGAGAUGUAGAAAAGGACAAGGCAAGGAAUACCAGACAGUAUGGAGUCUUUAGCAACCUUAAUUAAAAUCUUUUACAACCUUCUCCAGUGUAACGGGUAGAGAAUAGCUGAUCUUAAUUAGAUUUCAUUUAUAUAUAUUUAUAUACUUCCGUGUUAAAUCUAAUUUUGGAUACAAAAAAAACACCUAAAAAUAUUUUUUUAAGCGAUAUAUUAUUUCUUUGUUUAUAAAAAUAUUGAUAGAAAGUAUUGGGACUGUGUUUUUGAAAUACCGCCCUUCUAUACACCCAAUGAAUGGAGCCCUCUCCUAUUUGCAUUUAUUUAAUUAAUGCACUUCAUUUUCUGACGACAUUGUAAUUCGAAUAACUGAUCGCGAAAACCUAUGAAUAAGCGAGAUCUCGUACAUCAUCUCGUACAUCGUAUAAACACAGCCACCUGAUACCAGACACCCCUCCCUAAUGAACGAUGAGUUCAUUAUAGCCAUACAUGCAUAUCUAAAUGAUUAUUUAUGAUGCGGAGAACACAUUUCCUUUUAUUGUCUAUCUAAACGGGAGUACUGCUUUAUCUUUUAGAUUAGAUGUUGAAGGUUUCAUUUAUAAAGUUUAGAAGCAUAGUCACACCAAUCAAAUAUAUCAUGUAAAAUAUAAAACAAAAUGUACAAAGGAAUGCGGGUACGUGUUGUUAGAAAUGUUUUUUUCAUCUAAAAACUAAUUUCAUUAUUUUAAAAAUGAACAAAAUUUGCUAUGGUGUUUUUUUAAAGUCAGGAACAGGGAUAUCCAUAGACUUGAUGAACAGAUAACACCCCUCAACACCCCCCCCCCCCCGUCUUAAUUUCAAUCGUAUUUUGAGGUUAACGAGCUUCAGUUGCAUAUUUAUUUAUCAUACAAAUACGUCAUAGGGGUAGGAACCGGGGAGGGGGCUAGCUAGGGGGGUCCCCCUCAUUUUUUGGUAAAAGGGAAUGAGUGACGAGGAGCUCGUCAUAUUCCAAGCGGUAAUUUUAAAUGAUCAGCCAUUGUUCAUUGAAGUUUAAAUGAUCAGCCAUUGUUCAUUGUUUUUAAAUGAUCAGUCAUUGUUCAUUGAAGUUUGAAAUGUAAAAGAAUGAUUGUGAAUAUAGUUUGUCUAAUAAAUAACAAUAUUUUAUCAAUAAUUUCGAAAAAUUAAAGAGGACAUUUUCCCCCUUUAUUUAGAAGUUUGUUUUGAACUGUUUUGAAAAAAAAUUGAUUCUGAUAAUUGCUUACUGGGUAUAUAAGUUUAGGCGAUACAGAUAUCGCAUCUUCGCUAGCCACAAUCACUUGCAAUAUUUCACACAUUGACUCCAAACAUUAAGGUGCUGGCUGUCUUUUAGCAUUUCUUUCUUGUUAUUGAUUUUGUAAUUUAGUGAGAUUGUGAUCAAGAUAUUUCAUAUGUACAUGUAGUACAAAUAUACAUGGUUAAAAUAUAUUACAAGUAUGGAUAUUUUAUAAAAGAUAACAAACUUUUCUGGGGAAAAUAAUAGAUUGAUGUUGGAUUUGAAUAACUCGUAUAGAAUUCAAAUACACGUAAUAUAUCUAAAGUGUAUGUAUAGCUUGAAGCCUUUCAUUUAUGAACACAGAAUUAUUUCGUUACAUGGUACAAUAACUGACAACCCAACUAAAGGUAAAAAGAUGUCAUGUGAAGCAAUGCGUACUUUUUGAGUUUUGUUAUUUAUGUACUCAUUUCACUAGCGUACCGCAUCAAGGGCUUCAUCACGUUCUAUAGUAGGCCAAUAACAUGCUGGGAACCGGAAGCUACAGCAGUAUCUAUGGUUGUGUUGUUGGCCACCAUUUGACAUUCUCUGAUGAAAUAAAGAUUUACAGUAUCCAUGAAGAUGGUGGGUGUGUAUGGACCAGUCCGAGCUCGAGUCGGUUUAACUGUGCUGGAGUGUCGCAGAUAAUGAUUUUCUGCUCUUCCUGGGUACUAGGGAGUGAAUUAUAAUUCUCUUCUUACCGGUCGGAGUUUUUAGUAAUCCGUUUGUGUUUUCCUUGCAAAACCCUCACGAUCUCUGUCUUUUCAUUUCUCAAACAGUCCACUUUUUUUUACCAAAUCGAUAUUGAUUUUAUGGAGCUUGUUCAUUUGUGUGAUACAAAAAUGGCACAUAUACUAGCAUGAUCUAUGAAAAAUGUGUCGCCAAAUGUAACACGUCUGUGUGUUUGUGUGGGUAUGUGGUGUGUUGUAGUUGACUACCACAAUGCGACAAAUCUUCUCUGGAUAUCGGCGCAGCCAUUUUUAAUUACUACAAUUUGUAACAAACGUUAUGAUUGGUUGCAGCUACGCGUGAAUGACCAUUCACAAAACAGAGCGUACAUGUAUCACUGUGUGUUCACUAUGAGAGUUCUCGAGAGGGGGGGGGGUGUCACUAAUUUUUAAAUUGCAUAGUGUUCACGUCUUCCGCUACGUCAUCUUCUUUAGUGUUUCACAUUUUCAAUAUACUUUUUGUGUUUAUAACAUUGAUAGAAUUUCAUUUAUAUCUGUUAGAUUAUAUUGUGUUUAUUGAUCAAAAUGCAAGUGACAAUUCACGAUGACUGACAACUUCAGAGUACAUUUUUCAAAAAAAUACAUAGUGAAAUUGUUACUACGGUGUAUUAGUAUAUACAGUGUCACCUCGUUAUAUCGCCAGCAGUUGUCCCAGCCUAUUGUGGCGUUAUAUCGAGGGUGGCAUUAUAAACAGUUUGGUCAUUUUACUUCAUUGAUUUGGGGAAAAAAUGGGGUUGAUCAAUUAAUACAUUAUCGUCCUUUUAUUGCCGUCAACAUAUGACACGAUAUGUAAAUGCAUGGAAUUGUUUUGCUUUACCUCCUAAAACUUUGCUAUAAAAUGCAUAUUCUGCGAUUGUGCAUUUGCAAAACACGUAAGUAUAUCUACCAUAGUUUCAUUUGUGGCAUGGUAGGUUCUACGAUGACUGAAUGAGUUUAGUGGUUGACAAACACACGUGUAAUGGCUGCAACUUUUUUCUGGAACACAGAAAUAUGACGCCACACACAUAAAUACACACAAAAGUCACAUGAUACACAAACUUUACAGCAGUUCAAAGCAAGUCUCAUCGAAUAGAGAUUUGGAUAGUGUGCAAACGAACAUUGGCAGAAGUGGCUUCAUUUCUCAGUUGUUCAUGCGUAGGCGAUACUACUGGACAAUUUCAGAGACAAUUUUUAAUUGAGCAUGUUCAAGUUAUUAUCGCAAUUACCUAUGCUUACCUGUUUUCACGACACGUACUAAAUUUAGUUUCGCUCUGAUUCACCGGAGCAGAACAAUUAUGCAUCGCUGGGUCGCUGGCAUUGUUAUCGGGGGGAUUUAGAAAGGCAAUUUGACCUUCUGUGCCUGGUGGGGGAUGGCGAUAGGCGAGGUUGGCAUUAUAUCGGGUUUUUUAGCGUGUAUGGAAAUCCGAUCUACACAUUUCGACGGUGGUAUGCGGGGGUGGCGAUAUACCGAGGUAACACUGUAUGAAUGGUGGGAGGCACUGACAUGUAUAGUCAUGGUGAAGUAUUAGAUGUAUGUUAGCCAAGAAAAGCUGAAUAUAUCGAACAGUGAUCAGUUUAUAACUCCUAUAAGAAAUACAAAAUAGAGAGUUAGGCAAACACGGACGCCUGGAUAUAUCAGAGGUGAGAUCAGGUGCCUAGGCGGAGUAAACAUUUGACCGGCUACACCCGCCGUGAGCCCUAUCUCUUGAUCAGAUAAACUGAGUAAUACGUAGUCAAAAUCAGUGUGUAAAGAACGGCCUAACAAUCGGCAUGAAACACGUCAGGCAGCAUCUGAUCUAAUGAAAAUGGCAAAAUCCAAGACCCAAAUCUUUAUGGGAUUCUGAAUGAAAGCAAUAAAUUCAUGACCUUGUAUCCUUCUGACGCUCCUCAAGGUCAAACCCCAGUGAAAGUAUUUGGUGAUGAUAAUUGUUUUACCUCUCAAUUCGGGUUAGAACUUUAUUCGAAGUGGUGAAUACGGUUAAAUGGUUUAUAUGAAUGUCGGAAAGUGUAUUCUUCGUGCCAUUUGUUCUAGACUAUGUAGUUUGUAACUGAGUGGAUGGUAUUGAAAAUCUUAAUUAAAACUUCUAAUGUACAAACUAAUCAAAAAGACAUACAAUAAUGUGAUAUUGUUCUCAGUUUAGUCUGGGUUAUUUUCUGAUGUUUUUGUAAAAUAAGCGACCUGGAUACGGCGAAUGUAGAGAACAUUAUUAAAGUAUGAGGAAGUAAGUAGGGUAUAAUUAAUGUGAAAUUUUAAUUGACAGGUCCGAAAUAUUCCACACUAGUUUGAAUUUCGCUGCUGUCACAGGCGAGAAACGACUCCGUGACCUGGACCGGUAAAUGUCCUAGUGAAAAUACACAGAUGGAAAGAACUCAACACAGGUGUGAAUAUAAAGGAUGCGACAAAUUUUACCAUCCAUUAAAAAGGGAAACUGACUUUGCAUAUGAAAAUUCAACAUAGCUUUAGUGACAUCGGUCACUUACUUGUUUUGCUUUUGUUGUUUUUGUUUGGUAUUUAACAUUAAAGAGAGAUUACUUGA